Molecule: long non-coding RNA, 1350 nt
Filed under: Homo sapiens (human)
Lineage: Eukaryota; Metazoa; Chordata; Mammalia; Primates; Hominidae
Description: HSALNT0376565
Source: RNAcentral
CCCAUAGUGUGAGGAGGCCUAGGACAGUUACAGAAGCCAUGUGUAGGUGUUCUGGCUCCAGCAAAAGUCUUAUCUGACAACAUCAACUACAUGUUAGUGGCCUUUCCUUGAAAUUGCUGGAGCUUGUGCAUCAUCAAAAUAAUGGCAUAAACCAAGGAAGAAGAAAACAAAAUUGAGGAAAUGGGAUCCAACACAAAAGAGAGACAACAGGAUUAAUUGAGUGUUGGUGAAAAGCCACAGCCUGUAAAUAAUGCAGUUCGAACUGAAAUAGACCAGGAGGCUCAAGGAGAGACUUCUUCAAGAAGAUAAAAUUGAUAGAAUGCCUAAGGAGUUUGAGUGCAUUGAGAAUAGAUUCAUAUCAGUUCUGGAGAACUGGGUGGAUACAUUAAUGUUAAGUACAUAGAAAAGUUAAAAAUGAAAAAAAUUCUCAAUUCUAGGGAAAAUAAUCAUAGUAAACUACAUGUUUUAGUUACCAAUAGUGUUUACGUAGUCAAUAUAAACAAUGGGCAUUGAUAUAAAUAAUGUAUGUUGAUCUGCUAUAACAAGGUAUAACCUCAUCCUGGAGCAGGGCACCCUAUCGUCAGAUGGUAUCAUCUUUAAGGGGUUGUCUCAGCCAUGCCUUUAGAAUUACCUUUCAUUGCUUGUCAUGCUGGAAGCUUCUGAAUGUUGCAUUUUGUGAUAGAAACAGUGGGUACCAUGGUCAUGUGCUCACAUCUCCUUUGCGGUAAAGAAAAGGAUCACUCAUUAACAUCCACCAGAUAACAUUCUCCAUGAAAGCACCAAAUAAGGUUUGUCUUGGUCCAUUUUAUGCUGCUAUAACAGAACACCACAGACUGAGAAAUUUAUAAGGAAUAGAAGUUUAUUUGCCUCAUGUUUCUGGAGGCUGGGAAUUCCAAGAUCAAGGGGCUGCAUAGAUUGAGGUCCUUUUUGCUGACUCAUAACGUGGAAAGAGAGUGCACUGCAUAGAAGAAAGGAGGCCAAACUCAUUCUUUUAUCAUGAGCCUACUCCUGAAAUAACUCACUCUCAAGAUAAUGGCAUUAAUCCAUUCAUGAAGGCAGAAUACUCAUGAUGUAAUCACCUCUUAAAAGACUAACCAGAAUUGGCUACAGUUUCUUCAAGAAAAUACCCCAAUGGAAGAAAAAAAGGUGGAGGGAGAAACUGAAUGAAGAAAGGAUGAUUUGAAAUUACCAGAAAGUGGAACGUGGAAAAAACAGAGUAAAACUAGUUUGAGAAUAAAAUCUUAGGUUGUAACAUCUUCUGGGAAUUUAUUCUUUAAAUAUUGCUUUUAACUGGAUUCUUUGGUAAAUAGUAAAUGCAUUUUGGUUUUGAUUUAAGCAGCUCAUUCUUUU